RNAcentral lists this long non-coding RNA (228 nucleotides) under Homo sapiens (human). RNAcentral describes it as "non-protein coding lnc-MPP7-9:1". Lineage: Eukaryota; Metazoa; Chordata; Mammalia; Primates; Hominidae. The record is from RNAcentral.
CCUGCCUGCUCCAGAGAUUGCUACUAGUACAACUUGAGGUCUUCGUCAAAAUGAAGUGGUUUGUGGCUGAAACAACCUCCACGGGAAAGAAAACUGGAGUGUUCGUUCAUCCAUCAAAGAACAAACGCCAACGUCUGAGCCAACGACCCCAGCUCCCCCAGACAAAGCAGUGAACAGAUUAAAGGAUGGGAGGAAGGAUACAAUCAAAAUCGGGUGGUGAUGGCUGGC